CGCGGGGUGGAGCAGCUGGUAGCUCGUCGGGCUCAUAACCCGAAGGUCACAGGUUCGAAUCCUGUCCCCGCCACUA
RNAcentral lists this transfer RNA (76 nucleotides) under Balneola sp. RNAcentral describes it as "tRNA-Met". It matches the Rfam family "tRNA". From Rfam's summary of the family: Transfer RNA (tRNA) molecules are approximately 80 nucleotides in length. The record is from RNAcentral. Lineage: Bacteria; Pseudomonadati; Balneolota; Balneolia; Balneolales; Balneolaceae.